UGGGUCUACUCUUGUGCCACACACACAUACCACAUAUAUACACACACCACUCAUAUAUGCACACCACACACACACACCCCACACACACACACUGCACACACACACAUGCACAUACCACACCACACAUACCACACACACACACUGCACACACACACAUACAUACCACACACACACCACAAAUAUACACACACCAUUCAUACACACACCACACACACACACAUACACACACCACACCACACACACUGCACACACACACCACACACACCAUACCACACACACCAUACCACACACACCACACACACACACACACCACACACACACACACUGGACACACACACACACACUCCACACACAUACUGCACCACACAUACUGCACACACACGACACAUACACACACCCACACACACAUACACACCACACACAUACACACACCACUCAUAUACACACACACACACCGCAUCGCACAUACUGCACACACACACACACCACCACACACACACACAUACACACCAUACACACACUACAUAUAUACACACACCACUCAUAUACACACCACACACACACAUGCACACACCACACCACACACCACACACACACACACAGCACCACACAUACACAUACCACACACACACCACACCACACACACACACACCACACACAUAUUCACAUACCACACACACAUACCCCACAUACACACACACCAUACCACACACACCACACACACACAUACCACACACCACACUCACACACACUGGACACACAUACACACCACACAUAUACACACACCACUUAUAUACACACACACACACGCACACACCACAUCACACAUACUGCACACAUACACACACAAAUACCACCACACACAUGCACACUCCACACCACACACACCGCACACACACACACCACCACACAUACACAUACCACAUACACACCACACACACACACACACACCACACACACACACAUACACACACACAUACCACACAUCACAAUCACUCACACACACACCACACAUACACAUACCACACAUACACACACUGCACGCACGCACACACACCACACACACAUAGUACACACACACUACACACACACACUAUACACACACACCCCACACACCACACACACACCCCACACACCACACACAUAUACACACACAGACACACCACACACACCACACACAUAUACAAACACCACAGACACACACACCACACACACACACACACACACACACACACC
This 1236-nucleotide long non-coding RNA is filed under the name Bos mutus (wild yak). Its description in RNAcentral is "lncRNA (ENSBMUG00000023712.1)". The record is from RNAcentral. Lineage: Eukaryota; Metazoa; Chordata; Mammalia; Artiodactyla; Bovidae.